This 497-nucleotide ribosomal RNA is filed under the name uncultured bacterium. RNAcentral describes it as "partial 16S ribosomal RNA". It matches the Rfam family "Bacterial small subunit ribosomal RNA", at positions 28 to 507 of the family's 1533-position model. The record is from RNAcentral.
GAUGAAUGCUGGCGGCGUGCCUAAUACAUGCAAGUCGAGCGAACGGACGAGAAGCUUGCUUCUCUGAUGUUAGCGGCGGACGGGCGAGUAACACGUGGAUAACCUACCUAUAAGACUGGGAUAACUUCGGGAAACCGGAGCUAAUACCGGAUAAUAUUUUGAACCGCAUGGUUCAAAAGUGAAAGACGGUCUUGCUGUCACUUAUAGAUGGAUCCGCGCUGCAUUAGCUAGUUGGUAAGGUAACGGCUUACCAAGGCAACGAUGCAUAGCCGACCUGAGAGGGUGAUCGGCCACACUGGAACUGAGACACGGUCCAGACUCCUACGGGAGGCAGCAGUAGGGAAUCUUCCGCAAUGGGCGAAAGCCUGACGGAGCAACGCCGCGUGAGUGAUGAAGGUCUUCGGAUCGUAAAACUCUGUUAUUAGGGAAGAACAUAUGUGUAAGUAACUGUGCACAUCUUGACGGUACCUAAUCAGAAAGCCACGGCUAACUACGUG